RNAcentral lists this ribosomal RNA (433 nucleotides) under uncultured bacterium. RNAcentral's name for it is "partial 16S ribosomal RNA". It matches the Rfam family "Bacterial small subunit ribosomal RNA", at positions 29 to 507 of the family's 1533-position model. The record is from RNAcentral.
AACGAACGCUGGCGGCAUGCCUAACACAUGCAAGUCGAACGAGACCUUCGGGACUUGUGGCGCCUGGGUGCGUCACGCGUGGGAACCUGCCCUUAUGUUCGGCAUACCUCCCCGACAGGGGUGCUAACACCGGAUAAUGUCUUCUGACCAAAGAUUUAUCGCCUUUGGAUGGGCCCGCGUUGGAUUAGCUGGUUGGUAGGGUAAAAGCCUACCACGGCGACGAUCCAUAGCUGGUUUGAGAGGAUGGGCAGCCACGCUGGGACUGAGAAGCGGCCGGGAAUCCUACGCGAGGCGGGAGAGCCGAAUAGAGGACAACGGGGGGAAGGAUGAUCCAGCUAGGCUGCGAAAGUGAUGAUGGCAGGAGAGAAGUAAAGCUCUUUUAACCGGGAUGAUAAUGACAGUACCGGGAGAAUAAGCUCCGGCUAACUACGUG